GCUGACGAGUGGCGAACGGGUGAGUAAUGCAUCGGAACGUGCCAAGUCGUGGGGGAUAACGUAGCGAAAGUUACGCUAAUACCGCAUAAGCCCUGAGGGGGAAAGCAGGGGAUCGCAAGACCUUGCGCGAAUGGAGCGGCCGAUGUCAGAUUAGCUAGUUGGUGGGGUAAAGGCCUACCAAGGCGACGAUCUGUAGCGGGUCUGAGAGGAUGAUCCGCCACACUGGGGACUGAGACACGGCCCCAGACUCCUACGGGAGGCAGCAGUGGGGAAUUUUGGACAAUGGGCGCAAGCCUGAUCCAGCCAUGCCGCGUGCGGGACGAAGGCCUUCGGGUUGUAAACCGCUUUCAGCCGGAAAGAAAUCGCCAAGGCUAAUAUCCUUGGUGGAUGACGGUACCGGAAGAAGAAGCACCGGCUAACUACGUGCCAGCAGCCGCGGUAAUACGUAGGGUGCGAGCGUUAAUCGGAAUUACUGGGCGUAAAGGGUG
This 488-nucleotide ribosomal RNA is filed under the name uncultured bacterium. RNAcentral describes it as "bacterial SSU rRNA". It matches the Rfam family "Bacterial small subunit ribosomal RNA", at positions 87 to 569 of the family's 1533-position model. The record is from RNAcentral.